Molecule: ribosomal RNA, 420 nt
Filed under: Mantidactylus femoralis
Lineage: Eukaryota; Metazoa; Chordata; Amphibia; Anura; Mantellidae
Description: partial 16S ribosomal RNA
Rfam family: Bacterial large subunit ribosomal RNA
Source: RNAcentral
AUUUUAACGGCCACGGUACCCUAACCGUGCGAAGGUAGCAUAAUCACUUGUUCUUUAAAUGGGGACUUGUAUCAACGGCAUCACGAGGGUUCUACUGUCUCCUUUAUCUAAUCAGUGAAACUAAUCUCCCCGUGAAGAAGCGAGGAUAACACUAUAAGACGAGAAGACCCCAUGGAGCUUUAAACCCAAAUAUAUCCCCAAUCCCUACAACCAUUUAAUCCUUUGGGUCCUAUAUACUUGGUUUUAGGUUGGGGCGACCACGGAGUAAAACUAAACCUCCAUGAUGUACGGAACAACCUCCUUAUCUAAGAGCCACAGCUCUAAGAAUUAGCACACUAUCAUAAAAUGACCCAUUAUUGAUCAACGAACCAAGUUACCCUGGGGAUAACAGCGCAAUCCAUUUUAAGAGCCCCUAUCGAC